Humulus lupulus (European hop) is the source of this 2111-nucleotide long non-coding RNA. RefSeq lists it as uncharacterized. The record is from RefSeq and is a predicted model, not a curated record. NCBI's taxonomy places the organism in Eukaryota, Viridiplantae, Streptophyta, Magnoliopsida, Rosales, Cannabaceae. The transcript is spliced from 4 exons.
UUGAGUUUUUUUGUCACUCUCUCUUGAGUUAUCUUCACUCCCAUUUCACUCACAACUGCACCCUCUCGCUCACCAUCUCUAUCUCAUCUCAAUCUUAUCCCUCAUUCCAUUUCAUUCUUCUCUCUGCAGGUUUACUGUCGCUGGUGGGGGUUCCGUGGGGCUAGCGCGGCCUCGUUGGGGCUGGACGACGCAACGGCCUGGGACUACUCGAUAAAGCUUGCAGCAGGGUUACCCAAUUUGUUUUGAUGGUGUGAAAUAUUUCAUUCCACAAGCUUGAUCUCUUCACUCUCUUAAGAAAGGUUGGAUUUGUGGAUAUUCUAAUGAGAGGUGAUAAUGGCCAUACCUUUUUUAAUCCAAUGGUUUGAUGGUGGACAAGCUAAGCAUUUGACUCAACCCAAGGCUGAGAAGAAAGAGUAAGAUGAGCAUUUGGUUUUUCUCUUUUUUGCAUUAUUAUUUAAUUAUUUAAUUCAGAUUUGACUCACUUUCAUUAUAUUAUAACAUUGUAAAUGUGUGUAUGUGCUGAGACAGACUUCAAAGAAACUAUUUUGCAACAGUUUGCAAGAGGUAUGCCUCUAACUUUUAUUUUAAUACUAUGCAAAUGUUAGAGGAGUUUGAAUAUCUUAAAUAUUCAUCCAUAGUGAAAUAGGUCCUGAGAUUGUUACUGCGUGCUGCGGUGAUAACGGAAAGUUAAGAACUUGUGUGUUUUAGUGAAGUAGGAUCUGAGAAAUUUGUGUGCUGCGGAGAUAAGAAAGAAAACUUGUGUGUUGUUUGAAUUGAUGUAGACUUGUCUAUGAUCAUCCUAUAAUUGAAUUGUGUUUGUUUGAUUGGCUUGAUUAUAACAUAUACUUGUAUGAAUGUACAUAUACUUGUAGGAUAUAUAUUUAUAUAUUUACUCGAUGAUUUCCUUUUCUGCACCAGAACUACUAUCUCAAUUUGUGUUUAUUUUAAUUGAAGCAUAGCUUUGUGUUUCAUUGUAGUCUAAUAGUUUGAUCAUUUUCUUACUUAAAUAAUAUCUAAGUUAUUUUUUUCUUCCAAACUGUGAUUGUUUUUACCAUGUUCGAUGGCCUUAGUUGAAACAAUGUAUUCUUUAAACAAUUGAAAAUUUUCUAAAAUGGAUUGAUUAUCACUUUGUUAAAAAUCCUGCGUUUGCAUAGAAUUCAUAAUUAUAUGACUAUUUAUUAAAAGAAAUAUAUAUGCUUGACCAAUAGAAAUUAUGAUUUUCUAUUUAGCGUAGACUUUCAAAUGUGAAUUAGAUUUAUAAAUUUGGAUUAGGCUUAUUCACAACUCAUGUUACUUUAACAACUUUGUUUGGUAUGCUCGUUGUGUUACUUUAAUAACAUUAACAAAUGUCACCUGGUAUGCUUGUGUUAUAUAUUAAUGAUCUAUUAUAUUUAUGUUCUUGGUGCUCUUAUUUAUAACUAUAUUAUCUUUUCUUUUCUUGCUAAGUACUAUGGACUUAGAAUCUUAUGCAUAUUACCUACACAGUGCAUGUCUUUAUAUGUGUAUAUAUGUAUAUUAAUUUCUCGAUGUUUAUUGUAUAUUUGCUAAUGUGCUAUGAAUGAUUCAAAAUUUGGUUUAUUAAUGUCUAUGAUUUCAUAAACUAACUAGCUUGAGCACUUUUAAAUUGAGACUGACAGGUAUGCAUUCAUUAGUUUAAAGAAUUAAGACUAACUACUUAAGUCAUGAGGCUAUCCAAUUUGAUAAGAAAAAUACAACUUUUAUAUAAAUUAUUUUUGUGACUGAAAACCACAAUCAUCCUUUUUAUUUAUUCUGCAACCUUAAGUUCUCUAUUUAUUUUAGUUUUGGUUUAACUUUAAUGGUUUUUAUUCUGUAUUGUAGCCUAAAACUCUACUUGGAUAUCUAAGAGAACCAAGAGAAUUAUAUAAGAGAACCAAGGCAACACGAAAUUCUUCGUCAAGUUGUUGGGUAUUAUUUUCUUUCUUGCUUGUAAGAAUUAUGUACAGUGAGGAUUUGAUGUUUUAUUUAUAUCGAGAAUAAUGAAUUUUUAUUGAGAAUUAUAAUGAAUUUUCAUUGAGACUUAUUUAGUCUCAUGGGGAUUUGAUGUAUUAUUUACAUUUCAAUUGUAUGAAUAAAUGUUGUAUGUAUAUGAA